GUCAUGCGUUGGGGGUAUCGGUUGAAGCCGAUUGAGACAAACCCUUCGAACUUGACCCGAUUUAUAUCGGCGGAAGGAAACGCGGACACGUCCGG
RNAcentral lists this non-coding RNA (95 nucleotides) under Sutterella sp. CAG:397. RNAcentral describes it as "TPP riboswitch aptamer (THI element)". It matches the Rfam family "TPP riboswitch aptamer (THI element)". From Rfam's summary of the family: Vitamin B(1) in its active form thiamin pyrophosphate (TPP) is an essential coenzyme that is synthesised by coupling of pyrimidine and thiazole moieties in bacteria. The previously detected thiamin-regulatory element, thi box was extended, resulting in a new, highly conserved RNA secondary structure, the THI element, which is widely distributed in eubacteria and also occurs in some archaea. Analysis of operon structures identified a large number of new candidate thiamin-regulated genes, mostly transporters, in various prokaryotic organisms. The record is from Rfam by way of RNAcentral. Lineage: Bacteria; Pseudomonadati; Pseudomonadota; Betaproteobacteria; Burkholderiales; Sutterellaceae. RNAcentral also lists the same sequence under 1 other name.